Molecule: unclassified non-coding RNA, 17 nt
Filed under: Mus musculus (house mouse)
Lineage: Eukaryota; Metazoa; Chordata; Mammalia; Rodentia; Muridae
Description: oocyte_clustered_small_RNA5859
Source: RNAcentral
UAUAACCACCAGUUGAG